RNAcentral lists this ribosomal RNA (259 nucleotides) under uncultured prokaryote. RNAcentral's name for it is "partial 16S ribosomal RNA". It matches the Rfam family "Bacterial small subunit ribosomal RNA", at positions 524 to 782 of the family's 1533-position model. The record is from RNAcentral.
UACGUAGGUGGCGAGCGUUAUCCGGAAUUAUUGGGCGUAAAGAGCGCGCAGGUGGUUGAUUAAGUCUGAUGUGAAAGCCCACGGCUUAACCGUGGAGGGUCAUUGGAAACUGGUCGACUUGAGUGCAGAAGAGGGAAGUGGAAUUCCAUGUGUAGCGGUGAAAUGCGUAGAGAUAUGGAGGAACAUCAGUGGCGAAGGCGGCUUCCUGGUCUGUAACUGACACUGAGGCGCGAAAGCGUGGGGAGCAAACAGGAUUAGA